CUGCACUGCAUAACAGGUCCAUUUCCUGGUCAACUUGCUGCCUGACUUACCUGAAUUAUUUAUGAGCACAUGUUUGUUUCUGUAAGCAGGAAUGUUGUUUACAGAGAUUGGACAGCGUCUCAGGAAUGCAGACUGUGUUCAGAGGAAAUGGUUGUCUCCAGAGGGAACUUCUACAGCCUGGCUGCAGUCACAGAGGAGAAAGGUUGACAGGGACGAACCUUAUGUCCCCUGAAAUUUCCACUGCUACCUCAUGUCUGACUCGCUCCCUAUAUAAUGGAUUUCACAAGGAUUUUCACAAUCGCUUCACUUCUGGAUAAACAAGUCUUUGCCAUGUGACGUCCUGAAAACACUCAGCAGAGAAACUAUUCACACGCAACACUUGUAUUGCCUGUCUAGACCUGUGGCAAGGAAAAGAUUUGAUCAUUUUAAAGCACCAGUACAGACACAUGUAUGCAUUCACAGCUAAAUUAGAAAUGUGUAAAAUUACCAGGAUUAAUGUGUCAUAAGAGUUAAACAAAAGCACAAGGAUUACAUUAUGUACAAAGUAUGUUCUCAGCACUUGAAAUGUACUCUAAUUUGUCAAGACCAGGACACCUGAUGUAAUGAUUAUUUGUCUUCCAAAACCAAAAACCAGUUGGAGGAGUUUGUCACACCCUGUAUUCUGAUGUCACAUUGACAUACUGCUUCAAAGGGUUUGAUCUUUGACCAUUAGCACAA
Molecule: long non-coding RNA, 717 nt
Organism: Thunnus maccoyii (southern bluefin tuna)
Lineage: Eukaryota; Metazoa; Chordata; Actinopteri; Scombriformes; Scombridae
Exons: 3
Source: RefSeq, a predicted model, not a curated record